UGGGUAGUCCGCACGAGCGCAACCCUAUCCUUAUUUGCCAGCACGUAAUGGUGGGAACUCUAGGGAGACUGCCGGUGAUAAACCGGAGGAAGGUGGGGACGACGUCAAGUCAUCAUGGCCCUUACGAGUAGGGCUACACACGUGCUACAAUGGCGUAUACAGAGGGUUGCAAAGCCGCGAGGUGGAGCUAAUCUCACAAAGUACGUCGUAGUCCGGAUCGGAGUCUGCAACUCGACUCCGUGAAGUCGGAAUCGCUAGUAAUCGUGGAUCAGAAUGCCACGGUGAAUACGUUCCCGGGCCUUGUACACACCGCCCGUCACACCAUGGGAGUGGGCUGCAAAAGAAGUGGGUAGUUUAACCUUCGGGAGAACGCUCACCACUUUAUGGUUCAUGACUGGGGUGAAGUCGUAACAAGGUAGCCCUAGGGGAACCUGGGGCUGGAUCACCUCCUU
This 452-nucleotide ribosomal RNA is filed under the name uncultured Shewanellaceae bacterium. RNAcentral describes it as "bacterial SSU rRNA". It matches the Rfam family "Bacterial small subunit ribosomal RNA", at positions 1077 to 1532 of the family's 1533-position model. Lineage: Bacteria; Pseudomonadati; Pseudomonadota; Gammaproteobacteria; Alteromonadales; Shewanellaceae. The record is from RNAcentral.